This 440-nucleotide ribosomal RNA is filed under the name uncultured bacterium. Its description in RNAcentral is "partial 16S ribosomal RNA". It matches the Rfam family "Bacterial small subunit ribosomal RNA", at positions 338 to 795 of the family's 1533-position model. The record is from RNAcentral.
CCUACGGGUGGCAGCAGUGGGGAAUAUUGCACAAUGGGGGAAACCCUGAAGCAGCAAAGCCGCGUGGAGGAUGAAGGUUUUAGGAGUGUAAACUCCUUUUGUUAGGGAAGAAAAUGACGGUAUCUAACGAAUAAGCACCGGCUAACUCCGUGCAAGCAGCCGCGGUAAUACGGAGGGUGCAAGCGUUACUCGGAAUCACUGGGCGUAAAGGGCGCGUAGGCGGGAUAGCAAGUCAGAUGUGAAAUCCUAUGGCUUAACCAUAGAACUGCAGUUGAAACUGUUAUUCUAGAGUAUGGGAGAGGUAGGUGGAAUUCUUGGUGUAGCGGUGAAAUCCGUAGAGAUCAAGAGGAAUACUCAUUGCGAAGGCGACCUGCUAGAACAUAACUGACGCUGAUGCGCGAAAGCGUGGGGAGCAAACAGGAUUAGAUACCCUUGUAGUC